This 468-nucleotide ribosomal RNA is filed under the name uncultured bacterium. Its description in RNAcentral is "partial 16S ribosomal RNA". It matches the Rfam family "Bacterial small subunit ribosomal RNA", at positions 28 to 507 of the family's 1533-position model. The record is from RNAcentral.
GACGAACGCUGGCGGCGUGCUUAACACAUGCAAGUCGAACGGAAAGGCCCUGCUUUUGUGGGGUGCUCGAGUGGCGAACGGGUGAGUAACACGUGAGUAACCUGCCAUUGACUUUGGGAUAACUUCAGGAAACUGGGGCUAAUACCGGAUAGGAGCUCCUGCUGCAUGGUGGGGGUUGGAAAGUUUCGGCGGUUGGGGAUGGACUCGCGGCUUAUCAGCUUGUUGGUGGGGUAGUGGCUUACCAAGGCUUUGACGGGUAGCCGGCCUGGGAGGGUGACCGGCCACAUUGGGACUGAGAUACGGCCCAGACUCCUACGGGAGGCAGCAGUGGGGAAUAUUGCACAAUGGGCGGAAGCCUGAUGCAGCCACGCCGCGUGCGGGAUGACGGCCUUCCGGUUGUAAACCGCUUUCGCCUGUGACGAAGCGUGAGUGACGGUAAUGGGUAAAGAAGCACCGGCUAACUACGUG